GACCUGGCUCAGGAUGAACGCUAGCUACAGGCUUAACACAUGCAAGUCGAGGGGCAGCAUGGUCUUAGCUUGCUAAGGCCGAUGGCGACCGGCGCACGGGUGAGUAACACGUAUCCAACCUGCCGUCUACUCUUGGACAGCCUUCUGAAAGGAAGAUUAAUACAAGAUGGCAUCAUGAGUCCGCAUGUUCACAUGAUUAAAGGUAUUCCGGUAGACGAUGGGGAUGCG
Molecule: ribosomal RNA, 228 nt
Filed under: uncultured bacterium
Lineage: Bacteria
Description: partial 16S ribosomal RNA
Rfam family: Bacterial small subunit ribosomal RNA
Source: RNAcentral